RNAcentral lists this long non-coding RNA (7788 nucleotides) under Salmo salar (Atlantic salmon). The record is from RNAcentral. Lineage: Eukaryota; Metazoa; Chordata; Actinopteri; Salmoniformes; Salmonidae.
ACAUCUUGCACUGUAUUUAUCCGAGCACCAAAUGCGUUGACGUCAGCUGUUGUUAUUCGAAAAGUAUGUCGAAUGACUGACUCCCUCUUACAACAGCAGCCUUUGUAACUCGAGAAAUGAGAACACGUCAUAAUACAUAAUGGCAAUAUUUACAGUACUGUAUUAUGAUUGGCAAGUUUGAUGCUGUUGUUAACAAAUGUACAUAGGUAGGUUGGUUCAUGGUUGAGAUGAAAGCAAUGCAAGUAAGUACAUUUUGAUAGACUCCCACAUUUACCAAAACCCUUUUUUCAUGACCAUACAUUAAAAUAAGUAGGUUUGUACGCUUGUGUUUCACGGUGAAGUAAAACAAAGUGUAAGUAAAAGUUCGCAGCCAUUUCAUAAAUGCGCGACGAAUGUGGCCCUAUUUCGUGAAUCACUAGGUCGGAGGUAUUCUCAUGGUGACGUUAGCCGCAUCACAACUCGUGUAUAACUACCACCCGCAACCCCCUUCCAACUCCAAACUCUUUAUUGAUGCCGUUUUACUGUGCUGCGUUGGUUAACGGUUCGGUUUCGUCAAAAUUUAUUUUUCCUGAAUCUCUUAUUAGGUUACUUUAAUUUUAGAACUGACGAAUGAUAGCUAAGACUAAUAUGUAACAGGUCUCGUGUGACGAAUGUAGUAUGGAAGUAGUUUAAAUUGAUCAGAUAAAGUAGCUAUCUUACGUUACCUGCUAGCUUGUCUUUCGACGCCUACAUGAUUUGUUGCCUCAGCUUUUUUUUUUGCGAUUGUUGCUUUUACUCGAGUACUGAAUUGCUUACGAUUCGUAUGCAAUAAGAUUAACAUUAUAGCUAUAAGAAACGAUCAAGCUGACGUGUCCAUUAUGAAAGCCACAACAAGGUUAUCGUUAGGUGGCAGGGUAUUGUUAUUAUCAUCGUCAGUUACGUAGUUUAACACAAAAGAAUGCUUAUUUCAGCUGAGUUGGCAUCUCUACGCUAAGUAACAGCGAAAAUGUCACAUUUGUUAAUAACUACGGUACCUAGUCAAGAAGGCUUUACCAAACAAAAUGCGCGUGUUGUGGCGCAGUUGUAGGCCUGAUAAAAAAAAUCGCGGCGUGUCACGAUGUAGUGGAGAAAUGGCUGCCCGGGUGAUUCAGUACUGGUGCAGCUAUCUGAAGUUAAAAAAAAAAUGAAGAUCAUGAAAGAAUCAGGUUGUAUAAGUGUCAUUGAAAGAACCAAGUUACAAGACCAGAACCUUAUGAAAGGAGUGAAGCCGUUCGAAUAGCCAGCUAAAUAUUUGAAUAGAAGUUGAGCGUAGGUCCCACACAUCCGAGGCAGUAUAGCUACUUCGAUGCGUAUAGUAUUUUGUUAACCUAAAAUGAAGACUAGUUUACAAGAGGAGAAUUUUGAAUCCUUGGGAAUGGGCAGUAAAAUAUACCACUUACAAGACGAGCAUCAUAUGAAGAAAUGAGAAUGGCUAGCUAAAUAUUUGAAGAUCAAGUUGAACGUAUGUCCCUUAAACUGCCUCGGAUAUAUCUACUUCAAUGCGUUAGAAGUGUUUAUUUUAGUUGGUUGCGCAUCAGGAAAUACAAUUUAUAGUGGGUAAGGAACCAAGGAAAAAUGACUUUGGUUUUAUGUAAACUGAAUAAGUGCUGGUAGUUUGUCUCAUCAGUGUAGGCAACAUGUGAAAUAACCAAGUUACUGAUCUUGAACCAUAUGAGAAGUUGUGAAGCCUCUUGAAUAGCCAACUGCAUAUUGGAAGUUGGGCUGCAGUUGCUUUUGAGUAAUUUUUAUAUAUUUUUGUAGCCUGAAGUGAAGUACAAUAUGUGCUUAAGUUGUGAGACCUUACUUCAAUAGCAAACUAAAUAUUGGAAGAUAAUUUAGGCCAACAGUGGCUGUUUGUCAGUCAUUUAAGCUGCUUCAAGAAGUAAAAAUGUUUUGAGCCUAAAAUGAACAAGAUGUGCUGCGGAUUUCAUUUCCAAGUACAGCAGUUGCUUUGAUAGCACUAGCGGUAGUUCAAGGAGUUGCAGGCUAGUGACGUUGCUUUGUCACGCUUCAGAUCUGAUAAACUUUUUCUAAACACAAUUGGCUCUAGUUGGUGAAGAAAAGAAGAUUUUUCUGUAGAAGAAUGGACUGAGUUUGAGUUUUUUUUUAAAGUGCUGUGGGGGCACUUAGCUAGUAGGCAGUUUGUGAUCAGACGAGGAAGGACGACUUCAGGAUCAGGCAAGGACCAGGCAGAGGGAAUCUGGGCGGACCAGGCAGAGGGAAUCUGGGAGGACCAGCGGGGAGCCAGGCAGGAUCCAGGUGGAUCGCGGGAGGAGCAGAUGGGAACCAGUUGAGCGAGCGGAAUGCAGCAGAGUUUUCAUCAAAGGGAGCGAGCCAGGUGGCAGGGUAGCGAGCAUCCCAGAGUGAGCUGAGAGCGGAGCAGUCCCAGGUCGAGUGUUGCCCUAAAGCAGCCAGUGGGUCCCAGCAGCAAUGAGGUGACGAGUAAAAGGGCCAACUAGCUUCGCAAGUGACAAGUGUUUGUAUGAUGGGUAGCGGUAUACAGUAAUGUUUAACUAGGCCAAAAAUCUUUGAAAUUAGUCAAUGUUAAAUCUGUCAACACAUUUGCUCGCGAAGUUUUCUUCCUCUUUCAGGCAAUGGUAAAGUGUUAAUUUUCCUGGUUGCGGCCCUUUCCUGUGUGAUGUCUGCUGUGAUGAGUCCCCCUUGGCCUACUUGGUAGAGUGCACUGGCGAGAGGACUGUCUUAAAGGAUUUCACCCUCCUGCAGCGCAGAUGUAGUACCCCCCCUGGGCGGAGGCGUUUCUUCUUCAUUGAGUUCAAUAGGUCUACCCCCGAGAAGUGGUCUACAUGGGAGUGUUGAGAGUCGAAAUUCUUCUGUACGUUCGUACCACAACGCAGCUUUGGUGCUGAGCAGCUACAUCUGCUGGUUAAAGCUCGCACCUUAAAGCAAACCUGACCAUCCAAGGGAGUCCCUCUUUAGUACUGCCCGCCACAUUAAUCAAAACGGUUGAGCACGUCCCGUAACAGAUAAUUCUAAGGAUGGAUCAAGGGAAACCUCUGGUGUUAAAAUCAUGUAGGAAGGUAUUUUGUGCUGGUUUUCUGUAGUGAGUUGAUCAUUUGCAUAUACUGUUUUUCUUCCAAUAUGUUGUAGGGAUACACACUUGAGUUCUGGGAGGGUUGUGGGGGUGUUAAUCAAAUAUUUUCCUAGAAUUUCUUUUCACACAGCUUCGUGUAAAGCAGCGUUUUAAAGAUCCAAAUGGCUAGCGUUGAGGUUUGAGGAGCAAGGAAUCAACCCGGUGGUCCACAUCUUUCAGGUUUCCUUUUGCCUUGUGGUGUGGAUAUUCCUUGGUGUCUACAAUGGUGUAGCAGGAGGCGGGCCACAUUUUGGGAUGUGAACUUGCGGUGUUCUCCCAGGGAGUGUGGUAACCCUUAACUUUUAGGCUGAUGCAUUUUAUAUCCUGGAGUUGAAAUUUGCAUUUGGUUUCUGGGGUCAGGGGAGAGCUUAACUGUGACUCUUCCAGAUUAUGACCCACCCCUCAAUGAAAGAAACUGGAGAUCUACAUCUCCCUCGUCUUAAGGAGAACAGCUGAUGCCUUGAGGCCAGUGGUAUUUAACUGUUUCUUGUGGAAAGUUAUUGAUUUGGUGUUAGUGAAUUUGUGUUAAUUGUAUUUUAGCAACUGUUAAUACAAUUUUGAUAGUGGGUUGGUUACUGUCUGGGUUUGUAUGGGUGGGAAUGGUGGAAGUCUUGUUUUCCCUUUUGCGUUUUCCAGUGUGCUGUGUCCUACUGCGCUUUCAAUACUGAAGAUCAACAGGAACGCCCCUAACGCAUUGUAUGUAAAGGUUUACUAUUGCUUCAAAACACCACGUUGGGUCUCAAUGUUUUCACAUUUUAUAUUUCAUUAAUGACAUUUUGCAACUUGCCUUAAUUGCUCUCCUUUGCAAAUUAGUUAAAUGUUUUGUAUUGAUGCAACUGAACUCUGUCAAGGAAUGAUAAUUGGUAAUAAAUACAUAGCUUGUUGUGAUUGAAGACAGUUUUGGUAUGCAUUUGUUAUUCUGGGGGACUCUUGUGUGGGGGCUUUUCUUGUGCUUUUUCAGGUAUGACUUAGCUUGGUGCUUUUAGAUCACGGAAGUGACCUGGGCCUGAUGGCAGCUCUUACAAGGUGGAAAGUGAAGGUUUCAGAUAAGUUCAAUCCAGCUUGUAUCAUGUCCAAAAGUGGGAAAAUUCAUGACAUGCCGCCUGGUUGUCUGAAUGGGCCCCAUUGCUGCCUCAGUUGAUUGGUCUUCAAUAGAGACGCAUCUACUUAGCAAUACGACUCUGCCACUACUUGUGGUAUGUAGAAGUUGCACUGCUGUGCUUUCACUGAGUGCAAAUCUCUUCUGGUGGAGACUUUUCAACUCAAAAUGUUAUGCUAAUUAUAAAGCAUAUUUUGUCUACGGGUAACAAAUGUCAGUGCUGUGAGGGUGGGUAUAGGGCUGUUUGUUUUUGAUCUUUCAGAAUUACAAAAGCCCAAAUGAAGACUGCCUUCUACCCGUGACAUGACCACAGGAAUCGCCCCUCCUUUGAACUCCUCUACACAGGCAGGACAGUUUGAACACCUUCAUUACAUUAGACCAUUUCUAGUUUGCUUUUGGCUCUCAGCUACCUGCACUUGUGCAACUGUGCAAGCAGUCUUGUAUCGUAGUAGCCUUUCAUUCCUCUUCAACUGUAUAGCAUAUUUGGUUUUCCUUUGUAGCUGUCGUGCAACUGUGACAGCGUUCCCAAAUUAAGGUAGCUGAGGAACACUGCGCAACUGUGCAGCUGUAAUUUGGACUGCAAUUGUUUUGCUUUUGGAUUGGUAGAUGAGGGUUGGGAGGAGAAUUCUGCACUUUUUCUCUACAGAAAUCUGAGUGCGUCUUGGUGAAGCACGAAUGAAGUCUUCUAACCUGCCGCACGUAGUAAGGUGUUGGUGUACCUUUUCAGUCUUCAUUUCAUAUCAAACUCCAGACCCCUGCCAUGUUUUAGUUUGGUUCAAUGGACAUCUUCAACUGGCUUCCUGUUAACCUCCUAUCGUUAAUAACCAUCAUCAAGCCAUGCUUUUACCAGCAUAUGCCCCUUUCUUUGGCUCAGAGCCCUACUGCUUUGCAUCUUUAAAGUAAGUUGAGUAAAAUGUAUGUUGUGAGUACUGUGGUGGUUUGUGUAGAAACCUUUGUUUCAGAUCAUUAUCUUGUAUCACUGUCCGCUGACUGCGCCUCCAUCUGAAUGUAACGCCGUCGCAGGAAACUCGACAAAUGAAUGUGGCCCCUGAAUGAAGUAUCUACCCUCUGCGCUUGAGCUUAGUCAAACCUCUCCACUCGACGGUCUUCAGUCUCUUCUCUCUCUGUGCUGUCUGUGCUCCUUUCCUUUCCCCCUUUUGGUUUCUCAGGUGACAAUUUCUCAUCCGACGUAAAAUUGUCAUGAAUUGGCAUUCGUUAUCUGCCUCUAACUGCGUGAUGGAACACUGAGAACCCAGUCACUUUCAGAUCAAGAGCCACAAGCUUGUCUUGCUGAAAAUUGAGCAUCACUUCAGUUUCUUGGUUACUAAGUUAAGUCAUUUUGGUUCCCUUUUGCUUUUGAACACACCAUGGCUAUGUUUUAACACAACCUUUUGACUCUGCAUGCAUAUCAGCUCUGCAUAACAUUUUGAAUUUCAAAAUGCGCAACAUAACUUUCAUAUAGUUAAUGUGUAAAAUAGGCACAUACCAGUAGGUGUUGGGAGGGUGGGGGCAACACUUUCUUCCUUCCUUUCAGGUAUCUCUUGAGUGAACUUGUCGUUACUGGGUGCUUGCAGCUGCAGGGAGUCACGGGAAGUGUCUUGGUUUGAUCCAGUUCUAGGAAGUUGAGAGCAUCAGUGUAGAGAAACUGGUUGGUUGUGGUUUGUACUGUUUCUGUCAGUCACAGUAAAUUACAUCUUAAAAUAUUUUCUAUUUCAGGGAUAUGUUUUGGGGGGGGGGUGUAAUUGUUCCUCUUUUGUCUUUACAGCUUCAAAUCUAAGAGCUCAAUCCUUGCAAGUUUGACUGACCUCUGGACCAAUGUCAGUGAUAAGAUCUACACUUACGUUGUGAAUUUGUCUUACUGUUAUCAUGGAUGAAAUGUAGUAAUGUGGAAUUGCUCUAAUGGCAUUAAGUGUCUUCCUGGGGUUUGCUGGGGAUGGGGGGAAACAAGUUGUCUUUUCCUCUAGUUUCAGGCUUGCGACGAUGCUAAAGUCCUCAGGUUCGUGUAGAGCAGCAGGUGCUAAGGGUUUUUCUUUUCCUGGGGGAACAAACCCUCUGGUUUUUGUUCUUCCAGGUUUUGCUUUUUGUCCUUGCGCAAAAAAAGCAAAAGACUCCGGUGGUGGCACUCCUGAUAGUCCUCAGGACGGGGUUCAAUUCCCUGCGGCGUCUUUGCUUUUCUCAACCUGCUGCUUAGUUGGGUAAGCUAGUUAAAACAGGAACCUAGGUAGUUAAAAUAAUUUAUAGGGUCAUAUUGCGAUUUUUAAAUGACGCGAGCAGAGCUCAGCUUCUUAUUAGCUAGCUAACAUUAGCUUUAUUAUAUCUAUAUAGUGUUAGGUGUACUGUUUUGAAAUAACAUUCUUUAUAUUGAUUUGAUUGUAUACAUAGUCUUAGCAAGCUCUUUGGCAGCAAGCUAAGCAUUUUUAGCUAUAAUAUUUAGCUAGCUUGCUUUGCAAAUGUUAGCCUAGUUAGCUAGCUAGCAUCAAGUGUUGGUGAUAGAAAAAUGGCCGUAGAAGCAACUCGAGCUUAGUUUAGAAGACUUGACUUUUCAAUUCAUUUUGAGGCACCUGUAGAACAAGGAGCUAGUUAGCAAAGAUUUUUUCUGUGCCCUUGGUGUACAACAAACUCCCUCACGACGCCAGGACAGCGGAGUCAAUCAUCACCUUCCAGAGACACCUGAAACCCCACCUCUUUAAGGAAUACCUGGGAUAGGUAUAUAGAUGUACUAUUGUAAAGUGGUUGUUCCACUGGAUAUCAUAAGGUGAAUGCACCAAUUUGUAAGUCGCUCUGGAUAAGAGCGUCUGCUAAAUGACGUAAAUGUACAUCAUUGAAGUGUAUCGUCUUAAAUUGACAGUUGCCAUAGUUAUUGAGGCUUUUUAGUAUGCGCCCCUUGUGGGAACACAACCAAAUAUUAACUGUUCCAAAAAUGUUUCUACUUAGGCUUGCUUGCCAACCCAUAAAUGUUAGUUAGAAGAAACUGGUUUCUAAUGGAAUUUAUUUUGUUUAGUCUAUUGGUUGAGACAUGACUUGUAGUUCAGGAGAUGAGUUUAAUUUACUUUAAGUUAUGAAUAAAAUCUAUGAACUGUACAAAAUUGUGUGCUGACUGUCAUACCUCAUUACAAUGUUUUAAAUGACUUAAUUCCAAGGAUUUAUUUAGGUUAUACGUUACAAUUUUACUUGACAUGUUUUAAUGUGCUUUUCAUAUUUGACAAAGCCAAUUUUAGUGACCUGAAGUAUAUUUUCAUUACUGAGUAGAGUAAGCCUACAUAACCAAGGAAUGGGGGUGUAUUUAAUUAUUUCACCUUUAUUUAACCAGGUAGGCCAGUUGAGAACAAGUUCUCAUUUACAACUGCGACUUGGCCAAGAUGAAGCAAAGCAGUGCGACAGUUACAAAUGUACAGUCACAAUAUAUAUAUAUAUAUAUAUACACAGUGUGCAAAUGUAGGGAGGUGAGGCAAAAUAAUUACAAUUAUGCAUUAACACUGGUGUGAUAGAUGUGCAAGUAGUGCUACUGGGGUGCAAGAGGAUAAGUAACAAUAUGGGGCGAGGUAGUUGGGUGUGCUAUUUACAGAUUGGCUGUGUGCAG